Molecule: transfer RNA, 67 nt
Filed under: Megachile sculpturalis
Lineage: Eukaryota; Metazoa; Arthropoda; Insecta; Hymenoptera; Megachilidae
Description: tRNA-Ser
Source: RNAcentral
GAUUAAUGAGCUUGAAUAAGCAUAUAUUUUGAAUAUAUAAGAUAAAAAUAAAUAUUUUUAUUAAUCU